AUGGAUAUUCUGGUUUCUCUCAAAUACCUGUUUCACAACCUGAUCAAGAGAAGACCACCUUUUACUUAUCCUUUUGAAACUUAUGCUUAUAGACGUAUGCCUUUUGGUUUAUUUAAUGCACCUGCUACUUUUCAAAGAUGUAUGAUAGCUAUAUUCUCUGAUUUUUGUGAAAAGAUUGUUGAGGUUUUCAUGGAUGAUUUUUCCAUCUACGGGAAGUCUUUUGAUGACUUCUUAAGCAACCUUGAUCGAGUUUUGCGGAGAUGUGAGCAAACUAAUCUUGUCUUGAAUUGGGAGAAGUGCCACUUUAUGGUUAAUGAAGGUAUUGUCUUGGGACAUAAAAUCUAUGAAAGAGGUAUAGAGGUGGAUAAAGCUCAAGUUGAUGCAAUUGAGAAAAUGCCAUGUCCUAAACAUAUUAAAGGUAUUCGUAGUUUCCUUGGUCAUGAUGGUUUCUAUAGGAGGUUUAUCAAAGACCUAUCUAAAAUUCCUAGGCCUCUUACAAAUCUUUUACAAAAGGACGUUCCAUUUAUUUUUAUGAUGAUUGUGUAG
RNAcentral lists this ribosomal RNA (546 nucleotides) under Triticum aestivum (bread wheat). RNAcentral's name for it is "partial small subunit ribosomal RNA". Lineage: Eukaryota; Viridiplantae; Streptophyta; Magnoliopsida; Poales; Poaceae. The record is from RNAcentral.